GCGCCGAUAGUUCAGAGGCAGAAUAAUGGCCUUCCAAGCCAUUGACCUGGGUUCAAAUCCCAGUCGGCGCA
This 71-nucleotide transfer RNA is filed under the name Nanobdellota archaeon. RNAcentral's name for it is "tRNA-Gly". It matches the Rfam family "tRNA". From Rfam's summary of the family: Transfer RNA (tRNA) molecules are approximately 80 nucleotides in length. The record is from RNAcentral. Lineage: Archaea; Nanobdellati; Nanobdellota.